UACGAAGGGGGCUAGCGUUGUUCGGAAUUACUGGGCGUAAAGCGCACGUAGGCGGAAUGUUAAGUCAGGGGUGAAAUCCCGGGGCUCAACCUCGGAACUGCCUUUGAUACAGCACGUCUCGAGUCCGGAAGAGGUGGGUGGAAUUCCUAGUGUAGAGGUGAAAUUCGUAGAUAUUAGGAAGAACACCGGUGGCGAAGGCGGCCCACUGGUCCGGUACUGACGCUGAGGUGCGAAAGCGUGGGGAGCAAACAGG
RNAcentral lists this ribosomal RNA (253 nucleotides) under uncultured bacterium. Its description in RNAcentral is "partial 16S ribosomal RNA". It matches the Rfam family "Bacterial small subunit ribosomal RNA", at positions 524 to 776 of the family's 1533-position model. The record is from RNAcentral.